Molecule: small nuclear RNA, 107 nt
Filed under: Neotoma lepida (desert woodrat)
Lineage: Eukaryota; Metazoa; Chordata; Mammalia; Rodentia; Cricetidae
Source: RNAcentral
GUGUUUGCUUCGGCAACACAUAUACUAAAAUUUGAAUGAUACAGAGAAGAUUAGCAUGGCCCAUGCACAAGGAUGACAUGCAAAUUCAUGAAGCAUUCCAUAUUAAA